GUCCAUCUUUGAACACUGUGUUACUGCCACACACUGGUUCUCCUUUUUGUUCCUGUUCCUUGUAUUUAUGUCCCUUCGUCUGGUUAACAGGCCUCAGCUGCCCAGACUUUCAGGCUGGUGGACCCAGUUCAGUGGGUUGGUCCAGAAUUCCUUUCCCCAUGCAUCCUGGGCGUGUGAGGAGAGGAUGCCGGACUCUUACAAUCACUCAUCACCCCGCAGAGGCCCGCACAGAGACUGCUAAAGCCUUGGGGCCUGAACACAUCCUUUCCUCCAUCAAAUUUAGCAAAUGUGAGCUGCAACCUCAUGUAAGCCGCAUCCCCAUCAGGAGGGUGGGGUCGACUGAAAGCCCUCCUGCACAUGACAGUACAACAUCUCCUAGCAGCAUUAACCCAGUUCCAUCAGGAGAUAAGGAGGUGUCAGCCACCAUGAAGGUCUGGAAGCUGCUUAGACCUGGCCUCCAUCGACACCUGUCACUGUCAGGCAUGUAUACAUACACUUACACAUGUUGCUGUGCUAUUGACUGUUUGGUCUAGAGACAAUUACCUGACUAAUGCUUGCACCAGUCAAAAUAGGUUAAGUGACAUUCAGGGUUUAGCUAAUUUGUCGGUUUGCAAAUUUGACGGUCGGUAUAACACUUUGGACCAGGUUUUAGUGAGACGGUGAAACUGCUUCCCGUUUCCAUACUUGUAGCUCUCAAUAUGGCUUUAGUAUAUAUUCCCAUACAAGUG
RNAcentral lists this long non-coding RNA (728 nucleotides) under Sander lucioperca (pikeperch). RNAcentral describes it as "lncRNA (ENSSLUG00000006904.1)". The record is from RNAcentral. Lineage: Eukaryota; Metazoa; Chordata; Actinopteri; Perciformes; Percidae.